This 346-nucleotide ribosomal RNA is filed under the name uncultured bacterium. RNAcentral's name for it is "bacterial SSU rRNA". It matches the Rfam family "Bacterial small subunit ribosomal RNA", at positions 8 to 334 of the family's 1533-position model. The record is from RNAcentral.
AGGGUUUGAUUAUGGCUCAGGAUGAACGCUGGCGGCGUGCUUAACACAUGCAAGUCGAACGAAACACCUUAUUUGAUUUUCUUCGGAACUGAAGAUUUGGUGAUUGAGUGGCGGACGGGUGAGUAACGCGUGGGUAACCUGCCCUGUACAGGGGGAUAACAGUCAGAAAUGACUGCUAAUACCGCAUAAGACCACAGCACCGCAUGGUGCAGGGGUAAAAACUCCGGUGGUACAGGAUGGACCCGCGUCUGAUUAGCUAGUUGGUGAGGUAACGGCUCACCAAGGCGACGAUCAGUAGCCGGCUUGAGAGAGUGAACGGCCACAUUGGGACUGAGACACGGCCCAA